Long non-coding RNA from Myotis davidii, 777 nucleotides. RefSeq lists it as uncharacterized. Lineage: Eukaryota; Metazoa; Chordata; Mammalia; Chiroptera; Vespertilionidae. The transcript is spliced from 6 exons. The record is from RefSeq and is a predicted model, not a curated record.
UGUAACCUGAGAGAAUUUAAGUACGGGCAAUAUCUUAUGAGUCUAAAGUUAGAUAUCAAAAACAACGACUUAAAGAACAAAUUUGAAAUCAAUUCUCAGAUAGUCCAGCCCUCUUUGGAAACUCAUAUCCCUAAACCCACUGAGUUAUGAAUAAUUACUGUGCAAAAAUGUUUUGAAGGAAUCUGCUCCACAUUUUACCAUUGUCUUGGCCAUAAGACCAGAUACUGUCACGAUAUUUGUAUAUGAUAAGUAGGAAAUUAGACCAACAUGAGGGCACAGCAGAAGAGCAGCGCCUCCUCUGGAUGGACAGAGAAGAAAGAUGACAGCAGGAACAAGAAGAAAACUUAAGUCUUCCUAAACUGUGAAGAGGAAUGGAAGACAAAGGAGAUGCUGCUUCUGACAGACUGUAGAAGGUGUUUGCAGAGAAGCUGCAAUAGAGGAAUAAUGGAGCAGAAGCAGAGGAGAGAGUGACAAGCAGAUGCCUCUGAAAAUAUCACUGUUUUUGGAGAGCCACAGAAUGCCCCAGGUUUCCCCUUCAUUUUUACUUGAUGCCAAUUUCUCUUCCAUGAGUCCUAGCCAGCAUUAGUAGCAACCAGUACAAUGGAUAAACUCUGGCCCUGGGAAUGCGCAUUAGACGUGACCACUGAUGGGAGGCAUGGUGACACCACAGGCUGUUUAAGAAAGAAGCACUUUUAGAUAAAAAAAAUGGCUUACAAUUUUCCAAAGUAAGAAAAUGCAUUCACAAGAGAAGACAUGGGAAAAAAAUCCAUCUGAUUA